AGAGCGAUUACAAACUCAUCCGAUCCGAUUCCGUGAAAAUAUGGAUAUAAAAAGCUCGGAACGAACUCUGAUAUUGCUUACGUAUAAUCCGAUCUCUGAUCCAAAUCUAAGCUAACUAGCCUCGAUUGCUC
Molecule: long non-coding RNA, 131 nt
Organism: Maniola jurtina (meadow brown)
Lineage: Eukaryota; Metazoa; Arthropoda; Insecta; Lepidoptera; Nymphalidae
Exons: 3
Source: RefSeq, a predicted model, not a curated record